This 214-nucleotide long non-coding RNA is filed under the name Elaeis guineensis (African oil palm). RNAcentral's name for it is "long non-coding RNA (EGUI_LNC052352)". The record is from RNAcentral. Lineage: Eukaryota; Viridiplantae; Streptophyta; Magnoliopsida; Arecales; Arecaceae.
GUGGAGGAUUUUAGUUGUAUCUUGGAGUCAUUUUUCUGAAUUUUUGUAUACGAAGGAUGGGAAUACGCCUUAGGACAGUAUCCAACGCGCUUCUGAAUUUGAUCAUUUUUAUUUAUUAUUAUUCUAUAAAUCUUUUAUAAUUUUUUUAUAAUAAAUUUUUAUUUAUAUAAACAUACAUAUACAUAAACACACACAUAUAUAUAUAUAUACAUAU